Phacochoerus africanus (Common warthog) is the source of this 635-nucleotide long non-coding RNA. RefSeq lists it as uncharacterized. The record is from RefSeq and is a predicted model, not a curated record. NCBI's taxonomy places the organism in Eukaryota, Metazoa, Chordata, Mammalia, Artiodactyla, Suidae. The transcript has 3 exons.
GUAACAAUUAAGUCAAGGGUCGAAUUCACCAGAAGCCUCAAAAGAACAGAGGACAUGGAAAACUUCAUGUCCCUUUGAUUUAGUCAAAAACUCCAUAUUUUAAGAAGUGCCCAGUUUGCAGAAUGAAUGAAUGACCCUUAACGGAAGGCUAUCUCUGAUUCUCUUCACAUAACCUUUCCCAGAGUGAUUUCUACCCUGGCUCAAGGCAGUGAUUCAUGAAAGGAAAGUGGUAGGAAGUGAACAUCUUAAAAGUGGUGAGUAUCAGACCAUAAGCUCAGAGGAUGGCAAAUGAGGAACAAGAUUGGGAACAGACAUUAGCAUGUACUCAAAUGGCUUGCACAUUAGAAGCUGCAUGCCCUCCCCCACCCCAAUUAGAGUGGAGGGAAAUCUUUGUGCAGGCUUGGCUCUUUCCUCUGUGUCUGAACCUGCCUUUGCCUGGCUGGCCUGCAUGUCCCUUUGGAAUUGAUAAUGAGGUUCAAGAGAGAAGUAUAGCCCUCACUAAGCAUGUCACCCCCAUUUAGCACCUUUUCCAGGAUGGCAGCCACUAUUGUUUUAUUAUGUCCCUGAUCAGCUGUCACUAUUCAUAAAGUAAUCACUGCCAUUAACACGUCACGCCUCAAGCCAUCUGCUGCUGC